AGAACAGCACGUAGCAGGCCCCUGUGGAGGAUUAACACAGUGGCUGAACACCGGGAAGGAACUGGCACUUGGAGUCCGGACAUCUGAAACUUGAAUUGACAAGCCGACAUCAGUCUCCAGAGUGAAUCCAAGGAGUGGACCCAAGACAUUUGUGUUCUGUGAUGUGGUGGCAUGUUACCUGUCAUCUCCGAUGCAUAACUCCUAAAGUGCGUCUGGGGCAGUUGUACAGAUUGCAGAGGAUAAUACUCAAGAUGUUCUCCAAGGCCAACUAGUCAUCAGUUUAUUCAUGCAAGUUUCUGGGAUUGGAUUCAUGAACUCAUCCUUUGAACUAUUUCAACAAGCUUUUUCAUGUAACUAAUCUGCGGAAGGUAGAAAGGGGAAAACUGUUGGGUGCUAAAAUGACAACUGGUUCAAGGUACAAUGGCGAAUAUUUUUAUUUCUGCAACUUUUCUUAGAGGUUGGAAACUGGACUGGGCAGGAAGAUUCCUUUUUGUAAGAUUAGUCUCCAGUUUUCAUCAAGCAGUUUAGUGGGGUAUUUUAGGCCCAGUUCCCUCUCCACAGUCCCCAAAGGUCUUCUGUUAACUUUAAAUCCGCAAAGAGAGAGAUCUCUGCCAAGCAGCAACUGCAAGAGCAUGUGGGUCAAUGUUACCAGCAGACACUCAAAGCCCAUUCCCUUUACUUCAACACCGCUUUAUAAAUUAUCUUAGAGACGUUGUCAGGUUGGUAUUAGAGGUGAGUGGUCAUGACUUCACGAUUUCUCAUCUUUCUGAAUGCAUAGUGGCUGGGAGUGGUGGCUCAUGCCUGUAAUCCCAGCAGUUUGGGAGGCCGAGGUGGGCAGAUUGUUUGACCACAGGAGUUCGAGACCAGCCGGGGUAACAUGGCAAGACCCCAAUCUCUACCAAAAAAAAAAAAAAAAAAUACAAAAA
Molecule: long non-coding RNA, 926 nt
Filed under: Homo sapiens (human)
Lineage: Eukaryota; Metazoa; Chordata; Mammalia; Primates; Hominidae
Description: HSALNT0301614
Source: RNAcentral